Molecule: ribosomal RNA, 426 nt
Filed under: uncultured bacterium
Lineage: Bacteria
Description: partial 16S ribosomal RNA
Rfam family: Bacterial small subunit ribosomal RNA
Source: RNAcentral
GUGAGGAAUUUUCCGCAAUGGGCGAAAGCCUGACGGAGCAAUGCCGCGUGAAGGAUGAAGGCCUAUGGGUUGUAAACUUCUUUUCUCAGAAAAGAAUUAUGACGGUAUCUGAGGAAUAAGCAUCGGCUAACUCUGUGCCAGCAGACGCGUUAAGACAGAGGAUGCAAGCGUUAUCCGGAAUGAUUGGGCGUAAAGCGUCUGUAGGUUGUUUAAAAAGUAUUCUGUCAAAGAUUAGGGCUUAACCCUAGAUAGGCAGAAUAAACUUUUAAGCUAGAGUUUGGUAGAGGCAGAGGGAAUUCCCGGUGGAGCGGUGAAAUGCGUAGAUAUCGGGAGGAACACCAAAGGCGAAGGCACUCUGCUGGGCCAAUACUAACACUGAGAGACGAAAGCGAGGGGAGCAAAUGGGAUUAGAAACCCCUGUAGUCC